This 126-nucleotide microRNA precursor is filed under the name Pelobates cultripes (western spadefoot toad). The record is from RNAcentral. Lineage: Eukaryota; Metazoa; Chordata; Amphibia; Anura; Pelobatidae.
GAAGAUAAAAGAGUGGAGAGCCAAUAGUGUAAAAUGCUUAAAACAAUAAAAAUGAGUAAAAACUAAUUUUUAUUGUUUUAAGCAUUUUACACUAUUGGCUCUCCACUCUUUUAUCUUCUAUAUACG